CACACACACACACACACACGAGUUCAGGGACCAGGGUUGCAUGAAAUCAGUGCUCAUGUGUUGGCUUCCUUUUUACAUACAUGGUUUAACCAGGAAUCCUGAGAUCAUCCCUCUGCCCAAGUACCAUGGGUAUGGUCAGCUGAUGGGGGUGUCCUCCCCUAGUUUGGUACCCAACUCUUCAGGUUGUGUGUGUGGACACACACACUCAGGGGAAGGGUCAUGAGAAGGACCUGAGUGAUAUCACUGAGAAGGCAAAGGUUUGCAAGGACUGUAUUAUCUUUGCUCUGUCGACUUGGACUUAACCCUAUAAAAAGAGGAAAGAGAACAGAAUUAAUGAAAGCAUCAAGUUCGGGGUCCUGUGUAGAAGGAGUCACUACCACAGUUUAAGGAGAAUGAAUCGGUGACUUUAAAGGCUUCCAGGCAUAAUUGGAUGGAGUGGGACAGUCAGUGUGUCCGCUGUAACUCUGAAGUGGACGAGGAUUGUCUUAGCUGAAAACGAAACAAACCCUUUGGGACGCUGUUGACAAAAAUGCCAAAGAAGAAAAAGUGUGCCCACUCUGGCCACCGAAGACACUAGAGCAAUGCCGUCUGAAAUACAGAUGCCAUUUUCAUUCUUCCCUUCUUGCCUUCAGAACCCCAAUUUACAGAAGAAAAAAGAAAAAAAAAAACCUUAGAAAAGUCGAGCAGGGCCAAUACUAGUUACUUUUGGCACAAAGGUCUUGCGGUAUGUUUUUUAAUGGAGGGGGUGGGAGUGGGGUGAGGUGUGGGAGGUAUUUGAGUGAGGAGAGAGAUCAAUAAUAUCUCUGAUACUAACGUCUAAGGAUAAUCGUUUGAGAAUUGGGAUGCUUUUGACCAAGUACUUCCAACCUCUAGACGGAAAAGACACUGUGUAAAUACUUGUGUGAUCAAAUACUGGUCUGAUGUGUCAUUAUUGUUUUUUUCAGUGACCCUCAACUUUGAUAGAUGGGGACAGUGGGGUCCUGGAGAGAGCAUGGUCACUUAGCGUUACUUCGAUGCACGUCACAGCCGAACACAAAACAAUGUCCCCCACUUAACACAAUAAACACUGGGGACUCACUGCCUUGUGAGUUCCUCUGAGGGAACCUGCUUUCCCUAGAUAAGAGAUCAAAAGUAGAGGGUAUAUUUUCAUUUUCUGGGUGUCUGUCUUUAAAUCAGGCUUAGUGAAGCAAGGUGUCUCCUAAAUUUUUGGUUGAGGGCAAGGGGACACAGGUUUUUUCCAAAUCUUAUUUUCCCUUUUUAAAAGGUCAGAUUUGUGAGUGACACAGGGAUGAACUGAGCAACUGUGAAAUUCUCAUUGCUUCAGAGUGACUGGGUAUUGUGGAAAUGGAAAGAAUAGGAAAUUAUAUUUCACACUCCAUGAAGCCUUCUUGCUGCUUCUUCUGGUGAUGGUUUUGGUUCCAUCUUAUAAAAAUGGACUAGAAUGGGAGGGGCAGGAUAAAGCGGAUCUUGAAGACAUAGGUAAGUGUGGAAUGCCCCACUCAGAUCUUCCCUACUGCCUUCUCCACGUUCUGACUCAAAGGUGGGUUGGCCUGUGUGGCUACCAGAGCACAUGCAACUUCAAAUUGAGCUAGUUCUGCAUGUCCUUUAUUAACUCAGCUAGCCACUCAGCUAGCUAGCUGUUUUGUCCUUUUGAGAUCCCUAUAUCCGUUUCAUUCUGCUCAACGCUUUAUAUAAGCGCACUGGCAGUAAAAAAUUAGAGCCAGGGAAGAGGGUUCCCGCUGAAAAUUUUAUGGAUCAGCUGAGACAAGGGUCAAAUGGCUACCAGGACUUCAGCUAGUAGCUUGGGAAACCAGUUAUUCCAAUUUUUUUUUAACUGAACCCCUAGAUGAUUCUCUUCAAGUUCACUCACGGUAGAACUUUAGCAAGUUUUCUGAAAUGGUUUCCCUGUAGGGGCUGACAAGGGGGGAUGGUCAAAUUUUUCAGCUGGGGAGGCUUUUCGAUUUGGAACCAAACUGAAUUUUGGCUUGCGUCUCUAGAAAAGAAACUGGUCAUGGCUGUGGGGCCCAGAACCCCGAGAGAUGAUAAGCAUUUGCAAUCUUGAGCGCUUAUCUCCUCCUGUAUCUGGCCUUCUUGCAUUUAUAAAGUAAAUCGGGAAAUCUCACUACAACAGGCUUUCCUGUGAGGAGGCUGGCAUUUCCUGCCUGCCCCACUGGGGACAGGAAUGGAGGGAACACACUGCUGAUAUUCAGGUUUUCCCAUUUCAGCCCUGCAGCUGCUGCGGGGGUUAGGGUGGGGGGUGGGGGGGGGGAGAGGGCACCCACCCAGAGAUCAGCAAUGGUGUGAAUUCGAGCUAAGGAGGUCAUUGUUUUCCUGAUACACUUUUCAUACAGCCUUCUUACACAUAAAAUAAGAAAAGAAACACCCAUUGUUACUUAUUUGAACACACACACAUGCCCAGGUACAUAUUCUGCAUAUGUGUGUUGCAUGGAUACCCAGCUGUCUUGCUUUGAUGAAAUUGAUAUAUAUUCUCAUAUACUUCUGACAAACUGCCAUUAAAUUGGUUAUCUUAAAAUAUAA
Leopardus geoffroyi (Geoffroy's cat) is the source of this 2538-nucleotide long non-coding RNA. RefSeq lists it as uncharacterized. The record is from RefSeq and is a predicted model, not a curated record. The transcript is spliced from 3 exons. Lineage: Eukaryota; Metazoa; Chordata; Mammalia; Carnivora; Felidae.